AGUAACGGCGAGUGAAGCGGCAACAGCUCAAAUUUGAAAUCUGGCUCUUUCAGAGUCCGAGUUGUAAUUUGCAGAGGGCGCUUUGGCUUUGGCAGCGGUCCAAGUUCCUUGGAACAGGACGUCACAGAGGGUGAGAAUCCCGUACGUGGUCGCUAGCUAUUGCCGUGUAAAGCCCCUUCGACGAGUCGAGUUGUUUGGGAAUGCAGCUCUAAAUGGGAGGUAAAUUUCUUCUAAAGCUAAAUAUUGGCCAGAGACCGAUAGCGCACAAGUAGAGUGAUCGAAAGAUGAAAAGCACUUUGGAAAGAGAGUCAAACAGCACGUGAAAUUGUUGAAAGGGAAGCGCUUGCAGCCAGACUUGCUUGCAGUUGCUCAUCCGGGCUUUUGCCCGGUGCACUCUUCUGCAGGCAGGCCAGCAUCAGUUUGGGCGGUGGGAUAAAGGUCUCUGACACGUUCCUUCCUUCGGGUUGGCCAUAUAGGGGAGACGUCAUACCACCAGCCUGGACUGAGGUCCGCGCAUCUGCUAGGAUGCUGGCGUAAUGGCUGUAAGCGGCCCGUCUUGAAACACGGACCAAGGAGUCUAACAUCUAUGCGAGUGUUUGGGUGUCAAGCCCGAGCGCGUAAUGAAAGUGAACGGAGGUGGGAACCCGCAAGGGUGCACCAUCGACCGAUCCUGAAGUUUACGGAAGGAUUUGAGUAAGAGCAUGGCUGUUGGGACCCGAAAGAUGGUGAACUAUGCUUGAAUAGGGUGAAGCCAGAGGAAACUCUGGUGGAGGCUCGCAGCGGUUCUGACGUGCAAAUCGAUCGUCAAA
This 809-nucleotide ribosomal RNA is filed under the name Curvularia sorghina. Its description in RNAcentral is "LSU rRNA". It matches the Rfam family "Eukaryotic large subunit ribosomal RNA", at positions 82 to 909 of the family's 3401-position model. Lineage: Eukaryota; Fungi; Ascomycota; Dothideomycetes; Pleosporales; Pleosporaceae. The record is from RNAcentral.